This 119-nucleotide ribosomal RNA is filed under the name Pteropus alecto (black flying fox). Lineage: Eukaryota; Metazoa; Chordata; Mammalia; Chiroptera; Pteropodidae. The record is from RNAcentral.
GUCUACAGCCAUGUCGCCCUAAACAAACCCAACCCCAUCCGAUCUCAGAAGCUAAGCAGAGUCAGGCCUGGUUAGUAUUUGGAUGGGAGACCACCUAGGAAGACCAGGUACUGUAGGCG